GAUGAACGCUAGCGACAGGCCUAACACAUGCAAGUUGAGGGGUAUUGCAGCAAUGCAAGAGACCGGCGCACGGGUGCGUAACGCGUAUGUAACCUGCCUUACACAGAGGGAUAGCCUUCCGAAAGGGAGAUUAACACCACAUAACAUCAAGAUGCCGCAUGGUAUUUUGCUUAAAUCUCAGGAGGUGUAAGAUGGGCAUGCGUAUGAUUAGCUAGUUGGCGGGGUAACGGCCCACCAAGGCGACGAUCAUUAGGGGUUCUGAGAGGAAGAUCCCCCACACUGGUACUGAGACACGGACCAGACUCCUACGGGAGGCAGCAGUGAGGAAUAUUGGUCAAUGGGCGCAAGCCUGAACCAGCCAUGUCGCGUGCAGGACGACUGCCCUAUGGGUUGUAAACUGCUUUUGUAUGGGAAGAAACGACGGCACGAGUGCUGUUUUGCCGGUACCAUACGAAUAAGGAUCGGCUAACUCCGUG
This 476-nucleotide ribosomal RNA is filed under the name uncultured organism. Its description in RNAcentral is "bacterial SSU rRNA". It matches the Rfam family "Bacterial small subunit ribosomal RNA", at positions 28 to 507 of the family's 1533-position model. The record is from RNAcentral.